Molecule: non-coding RNA, 9375 nt
Organism: Anas platyrhynchos (mallard)
Lineage: Eukaryota; Metazoa; Chordata; Aves; Anseriformes; Anatidae
Source: RefSeq, a predicted model, not a curated record
GCAAGGUGUACUUUACCCCUGAAUGAUAAAACUAGCUGCCAUUUAUAAUUAAUUUUCAUACCUUUCCUCCUUUCAGUAGGUGAAUAGAGACAGAGUAUGUUACCUUUUGGGAUUGCUCUAUAUGAGGUUUAAGGGUACAGCACUAUAUGCAAUAACAACUGUAUAACUGGGUGGAGAGUUCACAGUGCUUCUCCUUCCCUGGCUGCCAAUUAAGUUGUCACAGUUCAAUAUUUUCCUGCUUUCCCUACUGGAAGUGUGUAAUCCAGUGUUUUCUACCUGUUGCUGGCCUAUGCCCUAAGCCAUGUUCUCUUUUACAACUCAAUUGUGUGUACUGGGAGUUUUGUGUGAUGCAUCCAUCAUUCCUCCCACUCUUAUUUUCUUGGACUCUUCAUUAAUUGAUUUUGUGCCACAGGUUGUAGUAUAUCAAUUCAAGGAAAAAGAAUGGAGGCCUUCAAUGAUUUUAUUCUAAUCUUGAUGGACCAUAUGUAUCUGAAGUUAAGUAUAAGAUCAUUCACCCUUUGUUGAGACUGAGUAAGGAAUUCUUUCUUUUGCCAAUUGUAAAAUAUUUCAGGCAUGUAACUUACGUUAUCCCUAGAUUAAUAAUGUGGGAUUUUUUGUGUCUUAUAUUUAAAAGUUCAGAACAUGUUUUUCUCAGUAAGCUUAUUGCUUAAGGGCAAUUGGAAACAGAAAAUAGACCGUGAUAAUUUGUGUUAUUGUUAAACUGAUGCUUAUUUAUUCACUAGGUAAAUGGAGGAAAAGGUCAUAUGAGGCAUUGUCAUCUUGUCAUUUUUGAAUAUAUAUUCUGAUUUAAUUGAAGGAGAUACAUCAUCUUCAAUGGGGAAAAUGAACAAUUUACUGUCACAAUCACUUUGGAAGAUAUGCACAGUGGUUAAAUUAGGUAUUGAAAAGGUUUUAGCUGUCCAGAGAGAAGUUUGUUAGAAUGGUCAGUCUUCACUCUGAUAAGCUCACUUAUGCUUGGAUUGCUGGAAAUAUUAGCAUUUUCACUCCUUUUUGAACAGUUUCUCACGUGCAUGUACAGUUGACUUACAGUUCUUGCCUAAUCAGCUUUUGAAUUCGUAUAAACUGGUUACUUCCUCUAAGCUAACCAGAUGACUUGAGAAAUAUUUCUGUCAAAUCUUCUUUUCACAAUCCCCUUUCCCUACAGAUGAUGACUACAAUGGAUGAGGUACUGGCAAAUAUAGAGUGCAGUGGUCUUGCAGUGGUCUCACAGUGGUCUGUGGGGGUCUGCUGCAGUAGAGAGAGUUAGCACUUUGUAAGUUGCUGAUUGCUGUGUUUAAAACAACUUAGGCUAUGUUCUUGGUUAAUUUUGUAGGACUAGCAGUUAGAUUAUAGUUGUUUUUUUUUAAUGAUUGUGUUGGUAUGGAGACUAGGGAUGGGACAGGUCCAAGUCUAGGUAACAGAACUACCUAAAAAUAAGGACUAGAGAUAAACUGUGUUGGAUGAAGUUUGGAGGGGAGUAAGCAAGUCAGUAGGGAGGAAAGUCAGUAGGCAGAAAAAAAAGUAGGAUUUGUUGUAUUGCAUGUGAUGUGUUUUGGUGAGGAGGAAAUUGGCAUUGUAGGAGUUUAUGAAUUCAUUCACAUUAGUGUCCAUUUCCUCCAUCUCUUGUAGGGUGAUACUUUUUUCAUCUGAGGAGGAAACAGAUUUUGUCUUGAUUUUUUUUUUUUUCUGGGAUUUUAUCUUGCAUGACAUCCAAGAGAGCUACUGAAUUCUGUUCUCUCUUGCUGCAUUGUGCUUAAAGUUAAAUGCAGAAGGCAAUCAAUUUUCUUGUCCUUUUGCUAGGCACAGUUCAAAAUCCCAGCUUCCCUCCUCCUUGCUCACAGUCCAACACAAGAUCCAUUUCCCAUGAAUGCUAUCAUUGAGAAACAAAAGUGAUAGAUUUUGUCCUGCUUAGUAUUUCUACAGCAGCAGCAUACAUCCCAGAAGUCCUAACAAACUGCUUGGAGGCAGCACUUGUUGUCCGUCUGAGUAGAGAAAUGAGAAUCAUUUUUUAGAUAGACAUUAUCUCUGUCUGCCUGGAAAAAGUGUGGGCAAUAUUGGCUUGGCAUGAGACUUGUAAGGAAACUCUGCCAAUUUCCCUGAUGAUGCCAGUCUAAAGCAAAGAUAUGACAGCCAAGAGGGAUACUUGCAAGCAGUAUGUGUAGAGAGAGAUAUAGUAGUCUUCCUCAGUGAACUGAUUAGAUGUGGAUUUAUGACAUCACAUAGCCUGAUAACUCCGGGAAGCCAAUACUGGUGCCUUGGAAUCAGGUCAGUGGAAAAGAGUGAAGGGGAGUCUCUUGUUUGAAGACACAGUGAUUUAUAGCCAGUAAAAUUCAUGGAAGGAGCCUCUCUGUGAAGAGAUGAAGCCCUAUCGGCACUCCAAUUAGCUAUGUUUAUAAUUGAUGGUAUGAGCGGAAAUCACUGUGAUUCAUGACCAAUAAUAUUCAUGACAAGAGCAACUCUUUCAUUUCAGGGAAAAAAGACCAAGAACUGCUCUAAAUUGCACAUGAUUGUGAUUAAUGACUAGGGAAGAUAAAUGGUGAGUGGGUGCCUGAGACCAGUGUUGUGCUGAGAAAUCUAUUUAAGCCACUUUCAGAGGAACAAGAAGGAGAGGAGGGAAUAGCUGUGUGAGCAUCAUUGCUUGUCAAAUACCUCCCACAGACUCUAAUGGGGCAUUAGGGGUUGUGCAGAUAGUGCAAAACUGUAGAAAUGAGAAACUGGCCAGAAUUCUGUUUUACUGAUUCUCCAACCUUUUGUCUGCCGUGAGCACAUUGAGUGCUUUGUGGUAUAUCCAAACUUUUCUUCGUGAUCAAAGAAUCCCAGGUGAAAAUAAAUGGAGAGGGGGAGGGAGGAAAGAAAGAACCAGUGGCUGAAGCUGAUAGAAAACAUAGAACAAGAAGUAGGGCUAGUUCUCUACACCUUAUUUCCUAGCAGACUUUGAAAGUGCAGAGGGUCUCCAGCUGAGUGGAUAGGAUGACAAUCAGCACCUGCAGAGCAAGACAGUGGACAUUGUCAGAACCUCAGAAGGGGUUCUGAAAGAGAUUUAUGAGGGAACUGAAAGAGAUUUAUUUGGAAAAGGAGGGAGGGGAAAAGUGCAUUAAGAGAAAUAACCAUCAGAGAUGAGAGCUCUGCCUUUUUAACCCAAGAGUCUGGGGGCUCCUUUUGAUCCUGUUCAAAGAUAGCAUCAUCUACAACUUGUUCAAAGUAUUGUAAUGAAAAUUUUCCACCCUUCCUUCUUUGCCAUAUGCUCAUGGCAGAACUUACAUCCAGUGAAUAAAUCCAUCUAGAGAAUAUCUUCAGUAACAUAUCUUAAUAAGCAAUUUUUCAUCUCUUUACCCUCACAACAAUCCUGUUUACGAAAAGUUUCAGCCUAUUAAGUUUGAGCUUUCCUACCAAAAUUCUUAAACUGGAAUAUUUUUUUUAUUUAAAAAUAUCUGGUUGUAUACAGAAAUGGCUUACUACUGGCUUAGCAGAUAGUAUUUGUCAUCAUUACCUAGUAUCCAAAUGCCCAAGUCAUCGACCAAAACUCCAGUAAACGGUCAUCCAGACACUGAGGAAAAAAAAAAUCCUAAUACAUUCAACAGAUAGCAAAUGUUGACAAUGAAUGCAAGUGAGGAUAUAGUAACACUAAAAGACUUCUCAUUGAAAUUUAGGUCUAGUCUGCCUAGAAGCAAGGUGUCAAAUUAACUACAUGCACUUAUAUUUGCAAAAAUACAGGUUUUAGAUCACAGAUUAGAAAAUCAGAGCUAAUCAGAGCUUGGCCUUGAAAAAGUAUGCUGUUGACAUUGAACUCCUGUUCAUGCUGAAGUUCCCACCCUCCAGGGAAAUGAGUUAGUUGCUUCUCGCAUCUUAAUAUCUGAUGCUUGGCUAACUUUAAGUCCUAAUAACUUGACCCUUUAUUAGUGUUUUUUGACCUGUUUAAACAUAAAAAUUUCAGUAUUAUUUUCUUUCUGUUAUAAAUAUCAGCCUAUUUCUGUAUUUCUUUCCUGCAAUAUUUGUAUUACAUUAUUUUAGACCAUUUCAUGUCUUUCUUGAUGAUUUUUUUACAGAAAAUUACCAUUAAAAUCAGUUACUUCAAAAAGAUUGACUUUUCUUUUAACUUGGUACUGAUUCUUAUCAAUUUUCUGGUUUCUAGGUUGCAUGUGGAAGUCAUACGCCCCACAACAAAACAAUAGUAUAAAUUGCACCAAAGCAGUACAAACAAUUUGACAAAAAGAACUUGAGUAAUAAACAGUACAUUUAUUACUUCAAGCAAAAAUAAUAUCUCAAAGCAGGGCUUAAUGUUAGGUCCUCAUCUAGUUGGAACAUUUGUUUCUGUUAGGUAUCAUUUUCACCUACUUCCCUGAAGAAAACAGGCUGAGAUAAUCUCACUAACAGCUUCCUCUUGACCACUACCCCUAAAACUAUUUUAACUUGAUGAAAUUUUAAUCCCAUUGAAAUCAAAUUUGAUGGAGGGAAAGGAAUCUCAAGGAAAAUUAAGAUACAGCAGGUUUCAAGAAAACUAGUAGAAUGCUGAAGUGUGAGUUAGUGUCUUCAGUGAGGAAAACAGCUGUUUUUCAGAACUGGCAAAAAUAUCAGACCCAUCCUGCACAGACAGAAAGUGUCCAGCAAACCAGAAAUGAAUACAACAUCUUGCAGUUAGAGGGAUUUCCAGGGAGACACAGUGCAUCCACCAUGCUUUACUACUUCUGAUGCUCAUAGGAAAAAAAAAAAAACAACAACAACAACAAAAAAAAAAACAAUAUUAAAAUCUGUAUUUAUAUAAAGGCUGCUGUUCUACAUUCUUCUCUUAUUUUUACUCAAAGAUUCAGAAAGUAUUUAUGUGGCUGCAAAAUCUGUUCUUCCUUAGGAGCUGUGUUUUCCUCUGUAGAACCAACUAUAAAAAUGUACCCUCCAUGCCUUGCUGAAAGAUGUCUUUUGCAGAUUCUCUUGAACCUGAAGCAGUGAAUAUGGAUCUCAUUGAAUAUGUAGGCUGCAGCAAUACUUAUUUGAAGGCCAUUCAUAUUCCACUGGCUUUUGACAUGAACACUGCCAUUAACCUAUCAUUUGAUGCAAUUUUCUUCUCAAAAUGUAUUCCUGCCUGAAGUAGCCCAAGCUAGCUGCUCCCAUAGGAUUCUGAGAAGACAAUAGUUCUUCACAUGAGGCUGCUGAGCUGUGAACAAGCUCUGCUGCUGAUGGAGAUGUCAAGAGAAAAGAUGAUUUGAAAGAAAUAAGGGAAUCUGUCACAAAAUGCCAGCAUCUUUGAUGUGUUGAAGGUUCUCCUCUUGCUGAAUUCAAGAGCCUCCUAGCCUAAAAAGCAACUUCUUUUCUGUUUUCUAAGGAUUUCUCUUAUCCGAAGAGAAACUGGAACUGGAACCAUCUUAUGCUACUUUUCAUUAAUAAAAUUUCAUUUGUCAGCUGGUGCAAUCUUCCUUUCCUGUCAGUUCUAAGGGAGAACAGUAAUUUAGUAGAAACAGUUGUAUUGGAAACAAGGUCAUAUGCACAAAUAUCACUUGAAAUACAUUUAAGGAAUUUACUGUAAACAAAAAAAAAAUUUCUUUACUCAUAUUAUACUCUAGACAAUUACAAGCCAAUUCCAAACUAUGUAGUGUGGCACCGUGUUUAAGUUCAUAAGCCUAUAAACAGAAUGUCCAUUUGCAAUCAUACCCUCCUUCACAUAUUUACGCUUUCAUCUUUCCAAAGAUAAAUCUAUCGUACUAAAAUGGUGUCUUCAGAAAAAAGUUUCUGCUGAUAUUCCUGAAAGCACAGAAGUGUUCGAAAUCUUGUGAGAAUAUCCACUCUACUGAGUUUUUAGAGAGGCAAGCAGAAUGUUCCCGCAGCUGGGUUUGAUGAGGAUUUAAGGCAAAUACAAAUGCUAUUUGUCAUAUUCAGAAUGGUUUUCAUAAGGGCAAACAUUAAAUGCCCCAAUGUGGUGACCUUAAUUGCUGGGAGUGAAAGAUGCGUUUCAUAAUGAAAAAGAGUGUGGAGAGUCCUGGACUCCCGGCUACUGUGGCUACCAGCAAAGCUAACCAUACUUGCCUCUGGCUCUGUUCCCUCUGUGUUUGCAGUAGAUAGCUUUGCACUCCUCAUCUUUCUACAGCUUUGACUUUCCUUGUUCAGUUGAUUGUUACUUACCCUCCAAAAACUUAAGAUUCCUGUAGUGGUAUUUUGAUGUUGUCAAAAAGGUUGUUCCUUUCCGUCAACUUAUUUUCAUUAAGUCUCUCUUUUUUUUUUCUCCCCUACUAAUUUCCUGCCAUUUAUCUAUUGGUCAGUUGUCAAAUUCAUAUCAUCUCCAGGGUCUGAUUAGUCCCCUCCUUCUCUAGCUUAAUGUAAGAACCAUAAAACCAAAACCAUGUGUUCAUGUUUAUCAAAUGUGGUUUUACUUCACCAGAUCUUCUGCAGAGAGAAAAAUCUCUUCGCAUAGAUCAAGCAAGGCUUAGCAUAUUUAUGCCUUUUUAUUCCCUCUUGUGUUCAGCAAAACUGAAUGUAUCCCAGAAGAUGUAGUUAAUAAAGUAUUUUAUUGUAGAGAUGAAGAUAAACGUUUUCUGAGGAAAUUUCCAUGUGUGCAUUUCAGGAAUGAUGAUGGCUUUGAAUUAAGAUACUGUCAAAUCCACACAGGAUGAAGUCCUGCCACUAAGUCUCUGUCUUGGAUCACUCAGCUGGACACAAGGAACGCUUUUCCAUAUGGGACUCAGAACAAUUUUUUCAAGGUAGAGACAAUAGCAUGGAGCAUGGUUAUGUUUUAAGGAGCAACUUAUAGUUUCUUUUUGGCCUGGUACUUUCUUUCUCUGAAGGUAGAUCAGCUCUCUCUGAGGCCUCACAUCAUCCCACCCAUGACUACUGCAGUUGUUUAAUAUCACCCUUUCAUCUUCAGGUUAGUCAGAUGAAUGUUGCAUUUCUGUUUCUUCAAGAAACAAAUGUACAUAAUAUUGACUUAAAAAAAAAUAAAUAAAUAAAAAAAUCACUUCUUCAUGCUGAACUGACUCCCAAAGAACACAUAGAUGAACUGUGCUGAUACUAAGAUUUCUUUGCUCUUUUCUCCCUACUAAUUAUUUAUGAGCAGAGAGUUCACAGCUAAAGACAUUAAAGUUGAAGGUAGGCAAAUGUAAGGAAAAUUAAAAAAAAAAAAAGAAGAAGAAGAAAAAGAAGAUGUAAAAUGUUAUGAGAUGCGACAACAUACUUCCAGCUGUACUAAGUUUUCUCUUCAGUAUGUUUGUAGUCAGAUUGCAUGUACUUUCAAAGUCAUUUAUUCUUUCAUUGAAAGUUAAUUACAAUUUUCAUUUAAACAUAUUUUAAUUUAAAUCCAUGGAGAAAUCCAGCAGAUCAUUCACAGACUUCCUGUCACUUAUUCUUUGAGUAAAAAAGUAAUUUCCUCAACAUUUGUCAGUUUAUUCAUCAGUCUUAGUUAAAACGAAUAAAGAUAUUAAUCCUUUGAAGAAAUUCAGUAUUUAGAUUACUCAUUUCUGUGAACUAGCUGAAUAAUUCUGACAAUUCACAUUUCUUGUAUAGAGUUAACUUUAAUCAUUUGCAAAGGUUAAUUGGAUAAAAGUAGGAUCCAAUUAACCUACAUUAUUAAUAAUUGCAUCUUGCUAUUCAUAUAUGUUAUAAAUAGAAGCAUUAACAAAACUGAUAAAACAGACAUAGAAUUACCAUGGCUGAGCAUGCUACAUGUAAUUCAAACUAUUACUGUAUCUUUUUAUUCUAUUCCACAGAUGGCUCAAUAAACUGUAUAUAUAUGAACAAAUAUAUCUGUAUCCAUAUACAUACACAUGUAUACAUACACAUAUACAUACAUACAUAUAUAUGCUAAGGGCUCUUUUUGGUGGAUUACCUGCUUGGCUCUUGCCACUCUGUUGAGGGUCUGUAACUGCAUCACCUCCUGAAAGAUUCCCACAGCUUUAAUCUCAAUUCUGCGAUAAAUGCAAAAGGCAUCAGGGAUAGCUGGGGAAGAGGCUAACAUGGAGACCCAAAGUCAGAAGGACUCAGGCAUUGUACCUUCUUUGAGUCAUCCAUUGAGUAAUGCCGACCCUCUUAACACAGAUCUCUAAACAUUCCAUACAGAAUGGUAACAGAAAUGCUACACUUCCACUCCAUGAGUUUACCCAAACAAGUCAAAGGAUUUCCAUGAUGUGCUUUUACUGCAGUUCUCUAGCUGCUGUAGAGGCCGGGCAGUACUACUGCAUUUACUCUUACCCAUAUACCCCAUGUGUACAUUGUAUGCAUGUGAAGACUGCGGCCAAAUGGUUUCUAGUUCCAUUAAGCUCUUACAGUUGAAUUCUCUAGCAAUUCUUUCUUCCUGAGUAUAGUACAAUCUAUAUUAAAUCUCUCUCUCUCUUUAGUUUUUUUCUUAAAGCCUAUUCUCAGACAGACAUUGUAAAAUGGAAUUAUUGCCUUUGUGUGUACUCAUACAACACAAUUGUUUUAAUUAUACCCGAAUCAAGCAUUACAGCUACAAUAAUUUUUUAGAGUCAAUGUACAAUGUGUCUGAAGUAUACAACUGUAAUUCUGACCUAUGGUAAUGUGUUUUGGCAAGGAGGAUAGGCAUGAGAAAAAGGAAGGUAAAAUGCACAGGAAUUCCUGUGCAUGAAAACCUUUCUGCUUUUACAGAGCUUUACCAAUAGAUAAAUAAAUAAAAAUAAAAAAUCUACUUCAAUGUGGAAAUGUCUUCACAGUUUUAAAAUACAUAUUUUUCAUACUUCAUUGGAAGACUCUCCAGAAUUGGACUGAUGGAUGUGCUUUCAGGGACGCUUACUAGGACCAGCUCCACUGAUGCCUGAAAUAAAUAUUAAUUUAACUGGAACUAGCUCUGUAGUAGAGUUACAAAAUAAAUGAAGUUGAAGUGAUUGGGUACUACUUAAACAAUAAAAUGAAGCAUACUGUGAACAUUUGUUUAUGUAUUGCAUAUUGUGUGAGGUUAUUCAGUGUAUUAAAGAGGUAGAAAAUAUUUGCUUUUCUUGUGAACCCAAUGCAAAAUAGCUGGAACUACACUGUCAGUUAAUAUAAUAAAACCAGUACAAUAUAUAAAAAUAUUGAUAUCAAAUCCCUUCUCUCAGUCUUUUCAGCUAUAGGUGAAUUUCAUACCAAAUGCAGCUUCACAAAUGUGGUACCACAGUCUACAGAUAUUUUAAGAAAGCCUCAUAAAACAAAAUCAGAAGGUAGAUUCCUAUCUUUCAGACCCCACUUAUAGCUGUUACCCCAUUCAUACACAACAGUAAUCUGAAUAAUGAGACUUUUUUUCUAAUGUAAGAUAUGUGGAAGUGUGGAAGGGUAUAAGGGUAUAUUAAUUCCGACCUUACUUUUAGUUGCAUCAAAAUUCAAAAAAUCAUAGAAUGGUUUGGGUUGCAAGGGACUUUAAAGAUCAUCUACUUUCAACCCACCUGCCAUGGACAGGGACACCUC